Molecule: non-coding RNA, 45 nt
Organism: Schistosoma curassoni
Lineage: Eukaryota; Metazoa; Platyhelminthes; Trematoda; Strigeidida; Schistosomatidae
Source: Rfam
AUCCAAAUGACGAGUCCAAAAUAGGACAAGACGCGAGUCUUGGAU